Molecule: non-coding RNA, 488 nt
Organism: Suricata suricatta (meerkat)
Lineage: Eukaryota; Metazoa; Chordata; Mammalia; Carnivora; Herpestidae
Source: the annotation of a RefSeq genome assembly
AAGACAGGCCAAGGGCAGCCCAGCUCCAGCUCUGUGGCCUAAGAAGGGGGUGUUUGUCACCAUGGCCUUGACCCCUGUCCUAUUCGUGCUGCUCUGUCACUGGACAGGCUCCCUGUCCCAACCUGUUGUGACUCAGCCACCCUCCCUCUCUGCCUCUCCGGGAACGACUGCCAGACUCACCUGCACCCUGAGCAGGGACAUCAACGUGGGCAGCUAUACCAUAUACUGGUACCAACAGAAGACUGGGAGCUCUCCCCGGUAUCUCCUGUACUACUACUCAGACUCAAGUAAACACCAGGGCUCUGGGGUCCCCAACCGCUUCUCCGGAUCCAAAGAUGCCUCGGCCAAUGCAGGACUUCUGCUCAUCUCUGGGCUGCAGCCUGAGGACGAGGCUGACUACUACUGUGCAAUCUGGCACAGCAGUGCUGGGCACAGUGACACACACACAUGGGGAAGUGGGACAAAUUCCUCAGCCUGCUCAGACCUCU